AUAUUGCAGAGCAACUUGAAAGGGGGAGCUGGCCGCGUAGGAGGUGAGAGCCAGCCGCAAAAAUCCGUUCGGCGGCAUUUUCUCUUCAAACCCGCCCGGUCGGAUGUGGCAUUUGAAGAAAGAAGGCGUGGGUCAAUAAUCAACCCGCACUUUCUCCUCCAAACUGCUGACGCGACUCUCACCGCCUUCUCAGCUAAGCCAGCUGCCGGGAAGGCCAGCUCUCCGAAAAGGAAACGCCAAGACAUAGAAAACCACGCUUUUCCCGUAGGAAGAACCGAUGAUGAGCCCUGAUGAAAGAAGGAAGAAGACCCGCUGUCUGCGAAGGCCUAAAGGUUAGAAAUACAGCAAUUUUUCUCAUGCCGAAGGAAAGGCAAAAUGGUCUAAGAAACUGCAAGAGUGUGAUACAAGUUUUCCUCAACAGCGAGCUGGGACUGGCGACAAUUUCUUAACUCACAGCCUCCGCAGUCGCCUUAGUCGAC
This 479-nucleotide long non-coding RNA is filed under the name Homo sapiens (human). RNAcentral describes it as "HSALNT0339899". The record is from RNAcentral. Lineage: Eukaryota; Metazoa; Chordata; Mammalia; Primates; Hominidae.